AAACGACUCUCGGCAACGGAUAUCUCGGGUUGCGCCCGAAGCCUUUGGCUGAGGGCACGUCU
This 62-nucleotide ribosomal RNA is filed under the name Holosteum umbellatum subsp. umbellatum. RNAcentral's name for it is "5.8S ribosomal RNA". The record is from RNAcentral. Lineage: Eukaryota; Viridiplantae; Streptophyta; Magnoliopsida; Caryophyllales; Caryophyllaceae.